AUGUCCUCAAUUCAUCGUUUGACAGAGUUCGUCGUCGAGCGACUAACUGCUGCUGCAGAACAAAUAUCCAGAGACUUUGAAACAAGUGUCGUCGAGUACCAGGAAGAGAUCGUCCGUCAGCGCAGACUGCUGGACAUCGUCUGGAAACCCGAGAGGAAGCUCCACAGGACCGAGUUCCCACAGCAACAUGUCUGUAAGGAGGAGGAGGUUCUCUCUGAGCAGCAGCCCUGUGACCAGGAGAGGAACUCCAGUCUGGACCAAGAGGAGCCAGAGCAACCACCACCUGCUGCUGAAGAAAAACCCAGAGUCACCGAGAAUAUUAUCAUUGAGUUCAAUGAAGACAUUGAGCAUCAGCGCAGACUGCUGGAUAUCGUCUGGAAACCCGAGAUAAAGCUCCACAGGACACAGCUCCCACGGCAACAUGUCUGUAAGGAGGAGGAGGUUCUCUCUGAGCAGCAGCUCCUCUCUCACUACUCUCCUGUAGCCGAGAGCCAGGAUCAGAGAGGAAGUGAGCAGGUGGAGCCAGGAUCAACUAGAAAUGAAGAGACAAAGAGAAAGAAGAGACGUCACAAUAACACAAGUCACAGUGACAAUGUAGACAACUCUCCCCCAACAAAGAGUCACUGUAACAGUCACACAGAGUUUGUUAACAAGCGACUAACUGCUGCUGCUGAACAAAUAUUCAUAUUCUUUGAAAAAACUGUCGUCGAGUACCAGGAAGAGAUCGUCCGUCAGCGCAGACUGCUGGAUAUCAUUUUGAAACCCGAGAUAAAGCUCCACAGGACUGAGCUCCCACAGCAACAUGUCUGUAAGGAGGAGGAGGUUCUCUCUGAGCAGCAGCCCUGCGACCAGGAGAGGAACUCCAGUCUGGACCAAGAGGAGCCAGAGCCUCCACCACCUGCUGCUGAAGAAAAACCCAGAGUCACCGAGAAUAAUGAAGACAUUGAGCAUCAGCGCAGACUGCUGGAUAUCGUCUGGAAACCCGAGAUAAAGCUCCACAGGACACGUGAGUACAAGCAGAAUGCUCUGAAUAAGACACAACAGAAACGGAAUUCACUCAAAGAUUAUUUAAGAAUUUUAAACAAGAUAGAUAAAUAGCUAGAUAGAUACUUAAAUUUACUUAAAAGAUCCCAAGCUGGGAAAUUCCGGUGUUACAGCAGCAGGUACACACAACACACCUUACGAAAUAUACAAUAUAUACAAAAAACAAAUGUGAAAAAUAUACAAAUUGAGAAAUAUAUAAAGAAUAAGGAAAAUAAAUAUAUUUUUUUACAUGAAACAAAGACCCAUCAGUGUCUCUGUGUUUUGCUUCGUAUAUGUUGACUGUUCUCCAAACUAAGUUAAUUUUCUUCUGUUAAUGCCUUGACAUGGACAGAGUCAUGUCUAAAUUCAAUAGAACAGUGUGCGAGUAAUGAUUCAUACUUAUUUUCCGCUGACUUCACUAUUGCAGUUCCACAGGGAUCUAUCCUCCGACCAAUUCUAUUUAGCUUAUACAUCAAUGGUUUACCAUUGAUUUGCCCAAAGGUCCAGAUGUAUGCAGAUGAUACACUCAUUUAUACCCAUGCUAACACAAGGGAACAGGCUGCUUCCAAACUAACUGCUGUAUUGAACAAAGCGUCAGACUGUUUAACUCACUGUUGUCUCACUCUUGAUGUAAGAGAUACGGUAGGCAUGUAUUUUUCUAUCAAGAGAAAUGACAAACAUCAACCUGACAUUGCUGUCAAAGGUGAAGUAAUACAUGUUGUUGAGAACUUCAAGAAUAGUAACUGUAACUAAAAUCUUAUAAAGGUCUCCAAAAGUGUAAGAGUUUGUCUAAUGAAUUUUAGACAUAUUAGUUACCACCUGUCCAAAAUGCUUCUAAACUGUUUAUGUACUCUGUGAUUUUCUCACACUUAUCUUAAUGUGAUACAAGCUGCUCCCGGGCAGGUGUGAUUAACCUAAAACCAUCAUACACUCUUUACAAACAAUCUGUGAAAAUUCUCUAUAUAAACCAAGGAGCCCCCAUCAUCGUACCAUUAUGAAAGAGUAAAAUGUAAUGAUGUUUGACACUUUCCUUUCGUUACAGAUAUGUGCCCAAUGUUUAAGGUAAUUCAUGAUCUUGCGUCACCAUGUAAACAAUGUGUCACUCUGCAGAGACGAUGCUAAGGUCUCCAGGGCCUCAGUCAGAGGUGACUGCUCAUUUAAAUUCAGGGAAACAGAUUUUUGACAAUCUGCAUCCUCAGUCAGAGCAGCAGGAGGAUGGAACACUUAAAACAUGGCUCAAGAAAAAUCUGUCAUGUGGUCAUUGACCAUUGAGCGAAUAAAGGUUUAAACUUGUACUGAUUUGUUCUGAUGUCUGUUUUCUUUAC
Long non-coding RNA from Scophthalmus maximus (turbot), 2348 nucleotides. The record is from Ensembl. Lineage: Eukaryota; Metazoa; Chordata; Actinopteri; Pleuronectiformes; Scophthalmidae.